UAGCUAGUUGGUGAGGUAAAAGCUCACCAAGGCGACGAUCUGUAGCGGGUCUGAGAGGAUGAUCCGCCACACUGGAACUGAGACACGGUCCAGACUCCUACGGGAGGCAGCAGUGGGGAAUUUUGGACAAUGGGGGCAACCCUGAUCCAGCCAUGCAGCGUGAGUGAAGAAGGCCUUCGGGUUGUAAAGCUCUUUCAGCCGGGAAGAAAACGCAUGGGUUAAUACCCUGUGUGGAUGACGGUACCGGAAUAAGAAGCACCGGCUAACUACGUGCCAGCAGCCGCGGUAAUACGUAGGGUGCGAGCGUUAAUCGGAAUUACUGGGCGUAAAGCGUGCGCAGGCGGUUUGGUAAGACAGGCGUGAAAUCCCCGGGCUUAACCUGGGAACUGCGUUUGUGACUGCCAGGCUAGAGUACGGCAGAGGGGGGUGGAAUUCCACGUGUAGCAGUGAAAUGCGUAGAGAUGUGGAGGAACACCAAUGGCGAAGGCAGCCCCCUGGGUCGAUACUGACGCUCAUGCACGAAAGCGUGGGUAGCAAACAGGAUUAGAUACCCUGGUAGUCCACGCCCUAAACGAUGUCAACUAGGUGUUGGGAGGGUAAAACCUUUUAGUACCGUAGCUAACGCGAGAAGUUGACCGCCUGGGGAGUACGGCCGCAAGGUUAAAACUCAAAGGAAUUGACGGGGACCCGCACAAGCGGUGGAUGAUGUGGAUUAAUUCGAUGCAACGCGAAAAACCUUACCUACCCUUGACAUGUCAGGAACUUGCCAGAGAUGGCUUGGUGCCCGAAAGGGAACCUGAACACAGGUGCUGCAUGGCUGUCGUCAGCUCGUGUCGUGAGAUGUUGGGUUAAGUCCCGCAACGAGCGCAACCCUUGUCGUUAAUUGCCAUCAUUCAGUUGGGCACUUUAACGAGACUGCCGGUGACAAACCGGAGGAAGGUGGGGAUGACGUCAAGUCCUCAUGGCCCUUAUGGGUAGGGCUUCACACGUCAUACAAUGGUCGGUACAGAGGGUUGCCAAGCCGCGAGGUGGAGCCAAUCCCAGAAAGCCGAUCGUAGUCCGGAUUGCAGGCUGCAACUCGCCUGCAUGAAGUCGGAAUCGCUAGUAAUCGCGGAUCAGCAUGUCGCGGUGAAUACGUUCCCGGGUCUUGUACACACCGCCCGUCACACCAUGGGAGCGGGUUCCGCCAGAAGUAGGUAGCCUAACCGCAAGGAGGGCGCUUACCACGGCGGGGUUCGUGACUGGGGUGAAGUCGUAACAAGGUAGCCGUAGGGGAACCUGCGGCUG
This 1287-nucleotide ribosomal RNA is filed under the name metagenome. Its description in RNAcentral is "bacterial SSU rRNA". It matches the Rfam family "Bacterial small subunit ribosomal RNA", at positions 242 to 1520 of the family's 1533-position model. The record is from RNAcentral.